AGAGUUUGAUCAUGGCUCAGGACGAACGCUGGCGGCGUGCUUAACACAUGCAAGUCGAACGAUGAUGCCCUGCUUGCAGGGUGGAUUAGUGGCGAACGGGUGAGUAACACGUGGGUGAUCUGCCUCGUACUUCGGGAUAAGCCUGGGAAACUGGGUCUAAUACCGGAUAGGACCUUCCUUUAGUGUGGAAGGUGGAAAGUUUUUUCGGUACGAGAUGAGCCCGCGGCCUAUCAGCUUGUUGGUGGGGUAAUGGCCUACCAAGGCGACGACGGGUAGCCGGCCUGAGAGGGUGUACGGCCACAUUGGGACUGAGACACGGCCCAAACUCCUACGGGAGGCAGCAGUGGGGAAUCUUGCACAAUGGGCGAAAGCCUGAUGCAGCGACGCCGCGUGGGGGAUGACGGCCUUCGGGUUGUAAACCCCUUUCGCUAGGGAAGAAGCCACUUUGUGGUGACGGUACCUGGAUAAGGAGCACCGGCUAACUACGUGCCAGCAGCCGCGGUAAUACGUAGGGUGCAAGCGUUGUCCGGAAUUACUGGGCGUAAAGAGCUCGUAGGUGGUUUGUCGCGUCGUCUGUGAAAUCCCGGGGCUUAACUCCGGGUCUGCAGGCGAUACGGGCAUAACUAGAGUGCUGUAGGGGAGACUGGAAUUCCUGGUGUAGCGGUGAAAUGCGCAGAUAUCAGGAGGAACACCGAUGGCGAAGGCAGGUCUCUGGGCAGUAACUGACGCUGAGGAGCGAAAGCAUGGGGAGCAAACAGGAUUAGAUACCCCGGUAGUCC
RNAcentral lists this ribosomal RNA (779 nucleotides) under uncultured bacterium. RNAcentral describes it as "bacterial SSU rRNA". It matches the Rfam family "Bacterial small subunit ribosomal RNA", at positions 8 to 796 of the family's 1533-position model. The record is from RNAcentral.